AGAGGAGCUGACAAUUUAAACCCUGGAGUAAUCAUCAUAAAAAUUAGAUAUUAUUAACAUUAGAUAUUUUUAUUCCCACAUUUUAAGGAACAGUGAUUAAAACAAAAUGACUGUUCUUUUAUCUGUAUAGCUGAGGGGCAAUAGCAUCUGAAAGCAAUGUCCACAUCUCCCUUCCUGGCUCCUAUGAUGGAAGCAUCAUGCUUCCAGCUACAUUUUUUAUAAUGCAAGUUGAACUGAACAUGUCACUGUGGGUCAGGUGUCUCAAUGCCAUAAUCAAUUUCCUGGGCAGGUCUGUCAUUUGAUGUUUUCAUAGGCUGGGGCUUGGAAAACUACUACAUCUGUGGUUCUAAAUCUUUGGGUUGAGACCUUUGGAGCUUGUCAAACUACCCUCUUACAGUGGUCACCUAAGAUCAUUGGAAAACACAGAUAUUUACAUUAGAAUUAAUAACAGUAGCAAAAUUACAGCUAUGAAGUAGUAACAAAAAUAAUUUUAUGGUUAAGGGUCACGAGAACAUGAAGAACUGUAUUAAAGGAUCACAGCAUUAGGAAGGUUGAGAACCGCUGUCCCACACAAUGAGCAAAUUCAAAGUGAACACACCUGGCCAUGCCUGAAUGCUCACAGAAACAGAAACACAGACAAAGCCAGCCAAACUGCAUACUCAAAUGCUGUAAUCCAAAUGCCAUUUCAGGGCCAAAGGAAUUGGAGACUUAGAUAAAAGCCUGCAAGGUUGUUACAUUUGUCCCCAGGAGUUAAUACAAAAGCAUCUUUAUUCAUCUAGAUGAGAACAUGUUUAUCAGACUUUCUGAGAAAGCCACCUUGCCUGCACUGCCUCAGGCUCCAGGAAUCUCUACAGUGCUGAGAAGCUUGAUUCCACAAUAAUCCAUCAGAGAGGUGCAUUUCAUAGGUGAAGCAAAUUGGGUGACUGAGGUCAAAAGGGACAGGCUAGGGGACUCCAUGUCCUAAGCUCUCAUCUCAUUCAGUAGUUUCCCACUCCCUGUUUACUUUUGGGAAUUCAUUUUAACUCCUGGCACAGGGACCAUGUGACGCCAUCCCUCUAUCUCCUCCCUUCUACCAAACAGCACAACUGAACUGUAACUUACAGACAGUGAGAUGAAGGGAAAACAGAUUUUCCUGUCUUACUUUUUGACCCCUGGGUUCUAUUUUGUGUGUACUCUGCCCACAGUCCAAAGGGUAAAUAUGGGGAAGUGUGGAGAAGCUGAGAACAUGGAGUCAAGGGGCCAGACCAAGAUCCCCAGAUCCCCAUGCUCCUGGCUGGCUACAACCAAUUCCUUAUCGCACCUCUGCUGGCCUAACUUGACCCUCCCACCUGAAAAAGCCAGCUCAGGCCCCUGUGCCCAAAGCCCUGGUGAGCCUCUUGCUCUGGUCUAUCGAGGAGAG
RNAcentral lists this long non-coding RNA (1399 nucleotides) under Cricetulus griseus (Chinese hamster). Its description in RNAcentral is "lncRNA (ENSCGRG00015039496.1)". Lineage: Eukaryota; Metazoa; Chordata; Mammalia; Rodentia; Cricetidae. The record is from RNAcentral.